This 67-nucleotide transfer RNA is filed under the name Marmota monax (woodchuck). RNAcentral's name for it is "tRNA.Gly". The record is from RNAcentral. Lineage: Eukaryota; Metazoa; Chordata; Mammalia; Rodentia; Sciuridae.
GGUUGCGGCUCAGUGGUAGAGUGCUCACCUACCAUGCACGAGGCCCUGGGUUCGAUCCUCAGCACCA